CAGUCGCCGCGGGAAUACGUAGGGAGCAAGCGUUGUUCGGAUUUACUGGGCGUAAAGGGCGCGUAGGCGGCGCGGUAAGUCACUUGUGAAAUCUCCGAGCUUAACUCAGAACGGCCAAGUGAUACUGCUGUGCUAGAGUGCGGAAGAGGCAACCGGAAUUCUUGGUGUAGCGGUGAAAUGCGUAGAUAUCAAGAGGAACACCUGAGGCGAAGGCGGGUUGCUGGGCCGACACUGACGCUGAUGCGCGAAAGCCAGGGGAGCAAACGGGAUUAGAUACCCGAGUAGUCCCUGUCUCUUAUAC
This 301-nucleotide ribosomal RNA is filed under the name uncultured bacterium. Its description in RNAcentral is "partial 16S ribosomal RNA". It matches the Rfam family "Bacterial small subunit ribosomal RNA", at positions 509 to 807 of the family's 1533-position model. The record is from RNAcentral.